GGGCAUGUUAAUCCAAGAGCUGUGGCUCUGUGCAGUAGCUCCAGCUCUCCAAUGACAUGCAAGAGCAACGGGAAGGUCUUUGACUGCUGGGCCUCUUCCUGCCCAUUGCUGUCACUCGCCCCUCCUAUAUAU
Small nucleolar RNA from Indicator indicator, 132 nucleotides. RefSeq annotates it as small nucleolar RNA SNORA44. The record is from RefSeq and is a predicted model, not a curated record. NCBI's taxonomy places the organism in Eukaryota, Metazoa, Chordata, Aves, Piciformes, Indicatoridae. The transcript has a single exon.